This 253-nucleotide ribosomal RNA is filed under the name uncultured bacterium. Its description in RNAcentral is "partial 16S ribosomal RNA". It matches the Rfam family "Bacterial small subunit ribosomal RNA", at positions 524 to 776 of the family's 1533-position model. The record is from RNAcentral.
UACGUAGGGGGCAAGCGUUGUCCGGAAUCAUUGGGCGUAAAGAGCGUGUAGGCGGCCUGAUAAGUCGGCUGUGAAAGUCAAGGGCUCAACCCUUGAAUGCCGGCCGAUACUGUCAGGCUAGAGUCCGGAAGAGGCGAGUGGAAUUCCUGGUGUAGCGGUGAAAUGCGCAGAUAUCAGGAGGAACACCUAUGGCGAAGGCAGCUCGCUGGGACGGUACUGACGCUGAGACGCGAAAGCAUGGGGAGCGAACAGG